This 72-nucleotide transfer RNA is filed under the name Camelus bactrianus (Bactrian camel). It matches the Rfam family "tRNA". Rfam says of the family: Transfer RNA (tRNA) molecules are approximately 80 nucleotides in length. Their secondary structure includes four short double-helical elements and three loops (D, anti-codon, and T loops). Lineage: Eukaryota; Metazoa; Chordata; Mammalia; Artiodactyla; Camelidae. The record is from Rfam by way of RNAcentral. RNAcentral also lists the same sequence under 2 other names.
GAGGAUAUAGCUCAGUGGUAGAGUGUGUGCAUAGCAUGCACAAGGUUCUGGGUUCAAUUCCCAGUACUUCCA